RNAcentral lists this ribosomal RNA (699 nucleotides) under uncultured bacterium. RNAcentral describes it as "bacterial SSU rRNA". It matches the Rfam family "Bacterial small subunit ribosomal RNA", at positions 8 to 695 of the family's 1533-position model. The record is from RNAcentral.
AGAGUUUGAUCCUGGCUCAGAUUGAACGCUGGCGGCAUGCCUAACACAUGCAAGUCGAACGGCAGCAUAGUCUAGCUUGCUAGACUGAUGGCGAGUGGCGAACGGGUGAGUAACGCGUGGGGAUCUACCCUAAAGUAGGGGACAACUCGAGGAAACUCGAGCUAAUACCGUAUAAGCUCUUAGGAGUAAAGCUGGGGACCGUAAGGCCUGGCGCUUUAGGAUGAACCUGCGUCCGAUUAGCUAGUUGGUAGGGUAAAGGCCUACCAAGGUGACGAUCGGUAGCUGUUCUGAGAGGAAGAUCAGCCACACUGGGACUGAGACACGGCCCAGACUCCUACGGGAGGCAGCAGUGGGGAAUAUUGGACAAUGGGGGAAACCCUGAUCCAGCAAUGCCGCGUGUGUGAAGAAGGCCUGCGGGUUGUAAAGCACUUUCAGUAGGGAGGAAUAGCACAGGUCGAAUAAACCUGUUGCUUAGACGUUACCUACAGAAGAAGCACCGGCUAACUCUGUGCCAGCAGCCGCGGUAAUACAGAGGGUGCGAGCGUUAAUCGGAAUUACUGGGCGUAAAGAGUACGUAGGUGGAGUAUCAAGUUGACUGUGAAAUUUCUGGGCUUAACCUAGACAGGUCAGCCAAUACUGAUAAUCUAGAGUGCGGUAGAGGGUAGUGGAAUUUCCGGUGUAGCGGUGAAAUGCGUAGAU